CCUACGGGAGGCUGCAGUCGAGAAUCAUUCACAAUGGGGGAAACCCUGAUGGUGCGACGCCGCGUGGGGGAAUGAAGGUCUUCGGAUUGUAAACCCCUGUCAUGUGGGAGCAAAUUAAAAAGAUAGUACCACAAGAGGAAGAGACGGCGAACUCGGUGCCAGCAGCCGCGGUAAUACAGAGGUCUCAAGCGUUGUUCGGAAUCACUGGGCGUAAAGCGUGCGUAGGCGGGUUGGUAAGUCGUGUGUGAAAGGCGCGGGCUCAACCCGCGGACGGCACAUGAUACUGCGAGACUAGAGUAAUGGAGGGGGAACCGGAAUGCUCGGUGUAGCAGUGAAAUGCGUAGAUAUC
RNAcentral lists this ribosomal RNA (349 nucleotides) under uncultured bacterium. RNAcentral describes it as "partial 16S ribosomal RNA". It matches the Rfam family "Bacterial small subunit ribosomal RNA", at positions 338 to 698 of the family's 1533-position model. The record is from RNAcentral.